GCCUCCAACUUCGUUGAAAACUGCGAGACUUAAAAACGUGACAAGGACUGCUCACUUUUGAUUUUUCCCCAUAGAAUAUAUCCUUUAUCUCAAAUCUUAAUGAUGCAGAUGACAAGGCAUAUAUAAUAGUUGCAUUUUCUUUUUAUAAAUCAUAUGAUUUUAAAGAUUUAUAAUUUUUUAAACAUUUAAUUAAAUGUUAAGAAAUUCAUAUAAACAACCCCAAAUAGCUUGAGAUUAACUUAGUAUUAUUUGUCUGUCUCUUGGUACAA
This 269-nucleotide unclassified non-coding RNA is filed under the name Hevea brasiliensis (rubber tree). The record is from RNAcentral. Lineage: Eukaryota; Viridiplantae; Streptophyta; Magnoliopsida; Malpighiales; Euphorbiaceae.